CAUGCAAGGCGAGGGGGCAGCAAUGUCACCGUCGUACGGGUGCGUAACGCGUAUGCAACCUACCUAUCACUGGGGGAUAGCCCGGGGAAACCCGGAUUAAUACCGCAUAAUACAGGGGGCCCACAUGGGUCUAUUUGUUAAAGAUUUAUCGGUGGUAGAUGGGCAUGCGUUCGAUUAGCUAGUUGGCAGGGUAACGGCCUACCAAGGCGACGAUCGAUAGGGGAGCUGAGAGGUUGAUCCCCCACACGGGCACUGAGAUACGGGCCCGACUCCUACGGGAGGCAGCAGUAGGGAAUAUUGGGCAAUGGAUGCAAGUCUGACCCAGCCAUGCCGCGUGCCGGAUGAAGGCCCUCAGGGUUGUAAACGGCUUUUAUUCGGGAAGAAGAGCAGGGAUGCGUCCCUGUGUGACGGUACCGAAUGAAUAAGCACCGGCUAACUCCGUGCCAGCAGCCGCGGUAAUACGGAGGGUGCGAGCGUUGUCCGGAUUUAUUGGGUUUAAAGGGUGCGUAGGUGGCUGUUUAAGUCAGUGGUGAAAUACGGUUGCUCAACAAUCGAGGUGCCAUUGAUACUGAAUAGCUUGAAAUAAUUGGAGGCUGCCGGAAUGGAUGGUGUAGCGGUGAAAUGCAUAGAUAUCAUCCAGAACACCGAUUGCGAAAGGCAGGUGGCUACGAUUUAUUUGACACUGA
RNAcentral lists this ribosomal RNA (686 nucleotides) under uncultured bacterium. RNAcentral describes it as "bacterial SSU rRNA". It matches the Rfam family "Bacterial small subunit ribosomal RNA", at positions 54 to 749 of the family's 1533-position model. The record is from RNAcentral.